CCCGACUGCUAUCAGAGUGGGACUAAGCCAUGCGAGUCGACAUAGCAAUAUGUGGCAUACGGCUCAGUAACACGUAGUCAACAUGCCCAGGGGACGUGGAUAACCUCGGGAAACUGAGGAUAAACCGCGAUAAGUCACUACUUCUGGAAUGGGUAAUGACUCAAACCUAUAUGGCCCCUGGAUUGGACUGCGGCCGAUCAGGCUGUUGGUGAGGUAAUGGCCCACCAAACCUGUAACCGGUACGGGCUCUGAGAGGAGGAGCCCGGAGAUGGGCACUGAGACAAGGGCCCAGGCCCUAUGGGGCGCAGCAGGCGCGAAACCUCUGCAAUAGGCGAAAGCCUGACAGGGUUACUCUGAGUGAUUUCCGUUAAGGAGAUCUUUUGGCACCUCUAAAAAUGGUGCAGAAUAAGGGGUGGGCAAGUCUGGUGUCAGCCGCCGCGGUAAUACCAGCACCCCGAGUGGUCGGGACGUUAUUGGGCCUAAAGCAUCCGUAGCCGGUUCUGCAAGUCUUCCGUUAAAUCCACCUGCUUAACAGAUGGGCCGCGGAAGAUACUACAGAGCUAGGAGGCGGGAGAGGCAAGCGGUACUCGAUGGGUAGGGGUAAAAUCCGUUGAUCCAUUGAAGACCACCAGUGGCGAAGGCGGCUUGCCAGAACGCGCUCGACGGUGAGGGAUGAAAGCUGGGGGAGCAAACCGGAUUAGAUACCCGGGUAGUCCCAGCUGUAAACGAUGCAGACUCGGUGAUGAAUUGGCUUCACGCCAAUUCAGUGCCGCAGGGAAGCCGUUAAGUUUGCCGCCUGGGGAG
RNAcentral lists this ribosomal RNA (804 nucleotides) under uncultured Front Range soil crenarchaeote FRB31. RNAcentral describes it as "bacterial SSU rRNA". It matches the Rfam family "Archaeal small subunit ribosomal RNA", at positions 21 to 835 of the family's 1478-position model. Lineage: Archaea; Thermoproteati; Thermoproteota. The record is from RNAcentral.